Molecule: ribosomal RNA, 440 nt
Filed under: uncultured bacterium
Lineage: Bacteria
Description: partial 16S ribosomal RNA
Rfam family: Bacterial small subunit ribosomal RNA
Source: RNAcentral
CCUACGGGAGGCAGCAGUGGGGAAUAUUGCACAAUGGGGGAAACCCUGAUGCAGCGACGCCGCGUGAGUGAUGAAGUCUUUCGGUAUGUAAAGCUCUAUCAGCAGGGAAGAUAAUGACGGUACCUGACUACGAAGCUCCGGCUAACUACGUGCCAGCAGCCGCGGUAAUACGUAUGGAGCAAGCGUUAUCCGGAUUUACUGGGUGUAAAGGGAGCGCAGACGGCAGGGCAAGUCUGCUGGGAAAGUCCGGGGCUCAACCCCGGGACUGCAUUGGAAACUGUCCGGCUAGAGUGCAGGAGAGGUAAGUGGAAUUCCUAGUGUAGCGGUGAAAUGCGUAGAUAUUAGGAGGAACACCAGUGGCGAAGGCGGCUUACUGGACUGUAACUGACGUUGAGGCUCGAAAGCGUGGGGAGCAAACAGGAUUAGAUACCCGAGUAGUC